Long non-coding RNA from Musa acuminata AAA Group (dessert banana), 533 nucleotides. RefSeq lists it as uncharacterized. The transcript has 2 exons. Lineage: Eukaryota; Viridiplantae; Streptophyta; Magnoliopsida; Zingiberales; Musaceae. The record is from RefSeq and is a predicted model, not a curated record.
CUUUACGGGUUUCAUGUGGAUUCCACAUAUCGAGAGUACGCAUCAAUUGCAUCAUCGCCACUUCCUCCUCCAAUCACUUGCUUCCUCAUCCGAUCUUCCACCACCGUCUGCCGCUGCCGCUGCCGCCUCACUGAUAGCAGAAGGGAAACACAAGAAGAUGGAUUGUAAUGUGCCCCAUUACGUAGCUUCACUGAUGGCUAGAUUUCGCUCUUGUCUCUUCAAAUUACUAUUGAUUUGAUACAGUGGAUGCACAGGUGGAAUUGUCUGUCCACCUACAAUGCCUACAGAGGGGUUGCAAGCACUGGUUUGGUUAGCAUGUAUGGGAUGUUGCUGCAACAGGAGUUCAUCAUUUCUGGCCAUGUCAAGUAUGUCCUGUAGCUGCUGUUGAUGUAUCUGCAUGUGAGAAUUUUUGAAGCAGCUCUUAGGCCAAGGUACCUGAGCAAGCUUUUGUUCCUAAGAUGUAAAGGAUUUGAAUUCCAUGUAGGCUUUUGAGUUACUUGAUUCCUCUUCUAAGUAUCUCCAAUUACUUUUUA